AACGAACGCUGGCGGCAUGCCUAACACAUGCAAGUCGAACGAAGGCUUCGGCCUUAGUGGCGCACGGGUGCGUAACGCGUGGGAAUCUGCCCUUUGCCUCGGAAUAACAGUUAGAAAUGACUGCUAAUACCGGAUGAUGUCGCAAGACCAAACAUUUAUCGGCAGAGGGUGAGCCGGCGUAGGAUUAGCUAGGUGGUGGGGUAAAGGCCUAUCAAGGCGAGGAUCCUUAGCUGGUCAGAGAGGAUGAUCAGCCACACUGGGACUGAGACACGGCCCAGACUCCUACGGGAGGCAGGAGAGGGGAAUAUUGGAAAAUCGGCGGAAGCCUGAUCCAGCAAUGCCGGGUGAGUGAUGAAGGCGUUAGGGUUGUAAAGCUCUUUUACACGGGGUGAUAAUGACGGUACCGAGAGAAUAAGCUCCGGCUAACUCCGUG
This 433-nucleotide ribosomal RNA is filed under the name uncultured bacterium. RNAcentral describes it as "partial 16S ribosomal RNA". It matches the Rfam family "Bacterial small subunit ribosomal RNA", at positions 29 to 507 of the family's 1533-position model. The record is from RNAcentral.